UACGUAGGUGACAAGCGUUGUCCGGAUUUACUGGGCGUAAAGAGCUCGUAGGCGGCUUGGCAAGUCGGGUGUGAAAACUCCAGGCUCAACCUGGAGAUGCCACCCGAUACUGCUAUGGCUUGAGUUCGGUAGGGGACCACGGAAUUCCUGGUGUAGCGGUGAAAUGCGUAGAUAUCUGGAGGAACACCGGUGGCGAAGGCGGCAUCCUGGACCGAGAUUGACGCUGAGGCGCGAAAGCCAGGGGAGCAAACGGG
Molecule: ribosomal RNA, 254 nt
Filed under: uncultured bacterium
Lineage: Bacteria
Description: partial 16S ribosomal RNA
Rfam family: Bacterial small subunit ribosomal RNA
Source: RNAcentral